GUGCAUUUUUCAUAUUGAAUUUAGUUUUUCAAGAUAACUUAUUUUUCCAAAAAUAAAAAUUGAUUUAGUGCCUUUGGAUUUGCUGGGCACUAGUUCAGGUUCGUCUUUCGUUUUCAUCUGCAGGGUCCUCAAGGUUCAAGAGUUGCGAGAGGCCCCACUGGGAAACCCAGGCCAAAGGUAUCAUCUGCACUUUUUCUUUUCAGAUAUUGCUGUAGUUUCUUUUCCAGACAGAUGCUAUGAGAAGGAAUUCUAACUGAUUUUUCUUUUUUUUUCUUGGUGUCAGGGCACUUCAGGCUGUGAUGGCCCUGCUGGCCCUCCAGGUGAAAGAGGUCCUCAAGGACCACGGGGUCCAGCUGGAUUCCCUGGACCAAAAGUCAGAGCUUCUCUUUCUCUGUCUCUAUUUGACAUUUUCAGAGUUUUGAGAGUCACAGCUUACAUUUAAAAUAUUUGUUAGAUAUAAUAUUGAUAAAAUCUCUAUAAAAUUACAAUUGAUGUCAAAGGAAGUAGAUAUUUCAAUUUAUGAGGUUCGUAGAUUGUUUCUGAAUAUAAUUUCAACAUCUCUUAUUAAGUAUAUUUGAAAGUAUACCAAAGACUAGAAAAACAUGACUAUCACUCUCUCAGCUGCUCCUUUACUACAAUGAAUAUAAUUGACGACAUUAAAAAUUGUUAUCAGCCCUUAAAUAUUUGGUAUAUUAUAAUUUACCUUUAUUUUCCAUCAUUAAUAUAACCUUCAUCAAAUAUCACUUUCUAAAUCCCUCCAACAUUCUGGUAUCGCUUAAGUCAUGCUAAGAUUUAUUUAUAUUAAUAUUAUAUCUGUCUCUGUAAUUUAGAAAACAAUGAAAAUUCUCAUUAAAUCAUAUACCUUUUAUGGAAUGUAUUUAGAGCAACACUCUUGAAUGUUCAUCAAGCAUUCUCAUAAAGUUAAUUGAAAUACGUUGUUUUUAUAUUUAAGUAUUUGUGGGGACAUAGAACAUGCUGGGUUUUUGGCUUUGUUUGUUUCCUUGCAACCUUUGCAGUUUCUUUAAGAGAGCAGAAGUCAGUUUACCCACAUGUCUAGG
This 1058-nucleotide long non-coding RNA is filed under the name Callithrix jacchus (white-tufted-ear marmoset). RNAcentral's name for it is "lncRNA (ENSCJAG00000073589.1)". The record is from RNAcentral. Lineage: Eukaryota; Metazoa; Chordata; Mammalia; Primates; Cebidae.